Molecule: ribosomal RNA, 468 nt
Filed under: uncultured bacterium
Lineage: Bacteria
Description: partial 16S ribosomal RNA
Rfam family: Bacterial small subunit ribosomal RNA
Source: RNAcentral
GACGAACGCUGGCGGCGGGCUUAACACAUGCAAGUCGAACGGAAAGGCCCGGCUUUUGUGGGGUGCUCGAGUGGCGAACGGGUGAGUAACACGUGAGUAACCUGCCCUUGACUUUGGGAUAACGUCAGGAAACUGGGGCUAAUACCGGAUAGGAGCGCCUGCUGCAUGGUGGGGGUUGGAAAGUUUCGGCGGUUGGGGAUGGACUCGCGGCUUAUCAGCUUGUUGGUGGGGUAGUGGCUUACCAAGGCUUUGACGGGUAGCCGGCCUGAGAGGGUGACCGGCCACAUUGGCACUGAGAUACGGCCCAGACUCCUACGGGAGGCAGCAGUGGGGAAUAUUGCACAAUGGGCGGAAGCCUGAUGCAGCAACGCCGCGUGCGGGAUGACGGCCUUCGGGUUGUAAACCGCUUUCGCCUGUGCCGAAGCGUGAGUGACGGUAAUGGGUAAAGAAGCACCGGCUAACUCCGUG